AGUGAACGCUGGCGGUAGGCCUAACACGUGCAAGUCGAACGGCAGCACAGUAAGAGCUUGCUCUUACGGGUGGCGAGUGGCGGACGGGUGAGGAAUACAUCGGAAUCUACUUUUUCGUGGGGGAUAACGUAGGGAAACUUACUCUAAUACCGCAUACGACCUACGGGUGAAAGCAGGGGAUCUUCGGACCUUGCGCGAUUGAAUGAGCCGAUGUCGGAUUAGCUAGUUGGCGGGGUAAAGGCCCACCAAGGCGACGAUCCGCAGCUGGUCUGAGAGGAUGAUCAGCCACACUGGAACUGAGACACGGUCCAGACUCCUACGGGAGGCAGCAGUGGGGAAUAUUGGACAAUGGGCGCAAGCCUGAUCCAGCCAUACCGCGUGGGUGAAGAAGGCCUUCGGGUUGUAAAGCCCUUUUGUUGGGAAAGAAAAGCAGCAGGUUAAUACCCCGCUGUUCUGACGGUACCCAAAGAAUAAGCACCGGCUAACUUCGUG
RNAcentral lists this ribosomal RNA (492 nucleotides) under uncultured bacterium. RNAcentral describes it as "partial 16S ribosomal RNA". It matches the Rfam family "Bacterial small subunit ribosomal RNA", at positions 29 to 507 of the family's 1533-position model. The record is from RNAcentral.